Molecule: unclassified non-coding RNA, 360 nt
Filed under: soil metagenome
Description: partial contains 5.8S ribosomal RNA, internal transcribed spacer 2, and large subunit ribosomal RNA
Rfam family: 5.8S ribosomal RNA (bases 1-120)
Source: RNAcentral
GAUGAAGAACGUAGCGAAAUGCGAUAAGUAAUGCGAAUUGCAGAAUUCAGUGAAUCAUCGAAUCUUUGAACGCACAUUGCGCCCGCCAGUAUUCUGGCGGGCAUGCCUGUCUGAGCGUCGUUUCGACCCUCGCGCCCGGCUUCUGUCGGGGGCGGUGUUGGGGAUCGGCCACACCCUUCAGUGGGAGGCCGGCCCCUAAAUUCAGUGGCGACCACGCUGUAGCCUCCCCUGCGUAGUACUAAAACCACCUCGCAGGCGGAGAGCGGUGCGGCCCGCCGUAAAACCCCCCAACCUUUACAAGGUCGACCUCAGAUCAGGUAGGAAUACCCGCUGAACUUAAGCAUAUCAAUAAGCGGAGGA